Molecule: long non-coding RNA, 884 nt
Filed under: Manacus vitellinus (golden-collared manakin)
Lineage: Eukaryota; Metazoa; Chordata; Aves; Passeriformes; Pipridae
Description: lncRNA (ENSMVIG00005009496.1)
Source: RNAcentral
UCUAUGCACUUUUUGAAGUACAGUCUACUCCUUUUUCUCCCAUCUGUGCAGGCCAGUGCCAAGGCACCUUCUUGGCAAAUGAUGCAAUUUGGGUGCUUGCAACCAGUUCUCUGGAGAUAUUGAGUGAAGACUGAGUCGAUUGUAGCUGAACAAAGGGAAGAUGAAAGAGGCUGUGAAAGAAAUCGUGCCAUUGAGAAUAGACGACUUAAUGGAGUUGUGGAGGUGUGUCAGAUGGGAUUUGUCUUCAUCACUGUGAGCUGCCCCUUUGUGCAGCUUCCUAUUGCUUAGAUCACUCCAGCUUCCAGCAAACUGAAGAAUACUCACUUUGUUCAAGCCUGUGAGUUGCAACUGACUUAAUUGCUUAGAAAAACAUCUUUACAGGACAAAGCAAAAGCAAACAAAGUGCUCCAAGAGUGCAGAAGAGUAGACUGAAAGAGAACUGGCACAGAAGGUGCUGCACUGUUGUGCCUGACCCACUGCCCUCUCUGAGUUCCAGAAACUGGAUGUAUGAACUUGCAGUAAACAUUUUAAAUGCUUACAGCCCUGGAAAGAAGAGUGAGCUACAUAUGAAAAGGCAUUAAAGUCAGUUCAUGUGAUGCAUACCUUUGUGAUUCCACUUCCCAUGGGAAUACAUCAGAAGACAAGGCACAUUAUUAAGAUAACUGUUACAUCGAUGAAGCCCUGCUUUGUAGAACAUUGGUUUGGGAAGUCUCACCUGAUCUAUCUGAAAUAGUCAUUGCAAGGAACCUUGUGACAAGCUCCUGUUGCCACCCAGACAGCCACCAACCACCCCGUGAAAGAGAUUUGAUUCCAGCAUGUAAGUGUUACUGUAUGCCAAGAUGAUGAUUGGUUUUAUUAUCAUUAUUCUUUUGAACAAGCAGUGU